ACGGCUCAGUAACACGUGGAUAACGUGCCCUAGAGUGGAGGAUAAUCUCGGGAAAUUGAGGAUAAUACUCCAUAGAUCAUAGGAUCUGGAAUGACUUAUGGUCGAAAGUUCCGGCGCUUCAGGAUUGGUCUGCGGCCUAUCAGGUCGUAGUGGGUGUAACGGACCCACUAGCCGACGACGGGUAUGGGCCUUGAGAGAGGGAGCCCAGAGAUGGAUUCUGAGACACGAAUCCAGGCCCUACGGGGCGCAGCAGUCGCGAAAACUUCACACUGGAGGCAACUCCGAUGAGGGAAUUCCUAGUGCUAGCACAUUAGUGCUAGCUUUUCUUAAGCGUAGAUAACUUAAGGAAUAAGGGCUGGGUAAGACGGGUGCCAGCCGCCGCGGUAAUACCCGCAGCCCAAGUGGUGGUCGAUUUUAUUGAGUCUAAAACGUUCGUAGCCGGUUUGGUAAAUCCUUGGGUAAAUCGAGAGGCUUAACUUUUCGAAUUCCGAGGAGACUGCCAAACUUGGGACCGGGAGAGGCGAGAGGUACUUCUGGGGUAGGGGUAAAAUCCUGUAAUCCUAGAAGGACCACCGGUGGCGAAGGCGUCUCGCUAGAACGGAUCCGACGGUGAGGGACGAAGCCCUGGGUCGCAAACGGGAUUAGAUACCCCGGUAGUCCAGGGUGUAAACGCUGCAGACUUGGUGUUGGGGGCCCUACGGGGGCGUUCAGUGCCGGAGAGAAGUUGUUAAGUCUGCUACUUGGGGAGUACGUCCGCAAGGAUGAAACUUAAAGGAAUUGGCGGGGGAGA
RNAcentral lists this ribosomal RNA (790 nucleotides) under uncultured rumen archaeon. RNAcentral describes it as "bacterial SSU rRNA". It matches the Rfam family "Archaeal small subunit ribosomal RNA", at positions 85 to 877 of the family's 1478-position model. The record is from RNAcentral.